This 1005-nucleotide ribosomal RNA is filed under the name uncultured bacterium. RNAcentral's name for it is "bacterial SSU rRNA". It matches the Rfam family "Bacterial small subunit ribosomal RNA", at positions 356 to 1376 of the family's 1533-position model. The record is from RNAcentral.
GGGGAAUAUUGGGCAAUGGGGGGAACCCUGACCCAGCAACGCCGCGUGGAGGAAGAAGGUUUUCGGAUCGUAAACUCCUGUCCUUGGAGACGAGUAGAAGACGGUAUCCAAGGAGGAAGCCCCGGCUAACUACGUGCCAGCAGCCGCGGUAAUACGUAGGGGGCAAGCGUUGUCCGGAAUAAUUGGGCGUAAAGGGCGCGUAGGCGGCUCGGUAAGUCUGGAGUGAAAGUCCUGCUUUUAAGGUGGGAAUUGCUUUGGAUACUGUCGGGCUUGAGUGCAGGAGAGGUUAGUGGAAUUCCCAGUGUAGUGGUGAAAUGCGUAGAGAUUGGGAGGAACACCAGUGGCGAAGGCGACUAACUGGACUGUAACUGACGCUGAGGCGCGAAAGUGUGGGGAGCAAACAGGAUUAGAUACCCUGGUAGUCCACACUGUAAACGAUGAAUGCUAGGUGUAGGGGGUAUCGACCCCUUCUGUGCCGCAGUCAACACAAUAAGCAUUCCGCCUGGGGAGUACGGCCGCAAGGUUGAAACUCAAAGGAAUUGACGGGGGCCCGCACAAGCAGCGGAGCAUGUGGUUUAAUUCGACGCAACGCGAAGAACCUUACCAGGUCUUGACAUCCACUUAAACUUACAGAGAUGUAAGGUGUGCUUGCACAAAGUGAGACAGGUGGUGCAUGGUUGUCGUCAGCUCGUGUCGUGAGAUGUUGGGUUAAGUCCCGCAACGAGCGCAACCCUUAUCUUCAGUUACUAACGCGUGAAGGUGAGGACUCUGAAGAGACUGCCGGGGACAACUCGGAGGAAGGUGGGGACGACGUCAAAUCAUCAUGCCCCUUAUGACCUGGGCUACACACGUGCUACAAUGGCCACGACAGAGAGAAGCGAAAUCGUAAGGUAGAGCGGAACUCAAAAAAGUGGUCCCAGUUCGGAUUGUGGGCUGCAACCCGCCCACAUGAAGUCGGAGUUGCUAGUAAUCGCGGAUCAGCAUGCCGCGGUGAAUACGUUCCCG